GUACAGGCUUAACACAUGCAAGUCGAGGGGCAUCGGGAAUAAAGCUUGCUUUCUUUGCCGGCGACCGGCGCACGGGUGAGUAACACGUAUCCAACCUGCCCUUUACUCGGGGAUAGCCUUUCGAAAGAAAGAUUAAUACCCGAUAGUAUAAUGAUUCCGCAUGGUUUCAUUAUUAAAGGAUUCCGGUAAAGGAUGGGGAUGCGUUCCAUUAGGUUGUUGGUGAGGUAACGGCUCACCAAGCCUUCGAUGGAUAGGGGUUCUGAGAGGAAGGUCCCCCACAUUGGAACUGAGACACGGUCCAAACUCCUACGGGAGGCAGCAGUGAGGAAUAUUGGUCAAUGGGCGCUAGCCUGAACCAGCCAAGUAGCGUGAAGGAUGAAGGCUCUAUGGGUCGUAAACUUCUUUUAUAUAAGAAUAAAGUGCAGUAUGUAUACUGUUUUGUAUGUAUUAUAUGAAUAAGGAUCGGCUAACUCCGUGCCAGCAGCCGCGGUAAUACGGAGGAUCCGAGCGUUAUCCGGAUUUAUUGGGUUUAAAGGGAGCGUAGGUGGACUGGUAAGUCAGUUGUGAAAGUUUGCGGCUCAACCGUAAAAUUGCAGUUGAUACUGUCAGUCUUGAGUACAGUAGAGGUGGGCGGAAUUCGUGGUGUAGCGGUGAAAUGCUUAGAUAUCACGAAGAACUCCGAUUGCGAAGGCAGCUCACUGGACUGCAACUGACACUGAUGCUCGAAAGUGUGGGUAUCAAACAGGAUUAGAUACCCUGGUAGUCCACACAGUAAACGAUGAAUACUCGCUGUUUGCGAUAUACAGUAAGCGGCCAAGCGAAAGCAUUAAGUAUUCCACCUGGGGAGUACGCCGGCAACGGUGAAACUCAAAGGAAUUGACGGGGGCCCGCACAAGCGGAGGAACAUGUGGUUUAAUUCGAUGAUACGCGAGGAACCUUACCCGGGCUUAAAUUGCAGUGGAAUGAUGUGGAAACAUGUCAGUGAGCAAUCACCGCUGUGAAGGUGCUGCAUGGUUGUCGUCAGCUCGUGCCGUGAGGUGUCGGCUUAAGUGCCAUAACGAGCGCAACCCUUAUCUUCAGUUACUAACAGGUCAUGCUGAGGACUCUGGAGAGACUGCCGUCGUAAGAUGUGAGGAAGGUGGGGAUGACGUCAAAUCAGCACGGCCCUUACGUCCGGGGCUACACACGUGUUACAAUGGGGGGUACAGAAGGCAGCUAGCGGGUGACCGUAUGCUAAUCCCAAAAUCCUCUCUCAGUUCGGAUCGAAGUCUGCAACCCGACUUCGUGAAGCUGGAUUCGCUAGUAAUCGCGCAUCAGCCACGGCGCGGUGAAUACGUUCCCGGGCCUUGUACACACCGCCCGUCAAGCCAUGGGAGCCGGGGGUACCUGAAGUACGUAACCGCAAGGAUCGUCCUAGGGUAAAACUGGUGACUGGGG
RNAcentral lists this ribosomal RNA (1437 nucleotides) under uncultured organism. Its description in RNAcentral is "SSU rRNA". It matches the Rfam family "Bacterial small subunit ribosomal RNA". The record is from RNAcentral.